GAUGAACGCUGGCGGCGUGCCUAAUACAUGCAAGUCGAGCGAACAGACGAGGAGCUUGCUCCUCUGACGUUAGCGGCGGACGGGUGAGUAACACGUGGAUAACCUACCUAUAAGACUGGGAUAACUUCGGGAAACCGGAGCUAAUACCGGAUAAUAUAUUGAACCGCAUGGUUCAAUAGUGAAAGACGGUUUUGCUGUCACUUAUAGAUGGAUCCGCGCCGCAUUAGCUAGUUGGUAAGGUAACGGCUUACCAAGGCAACGAUGCGUAGCCGACCUGAGAGGGGGAUCGGCCACACUGGAACUGAGACCCGGUCCAGACUCCUACGGGAGGCAGCAGUAGGGAAUCUUCCGCAAUGGGCGAAAGCCUGACGGAGCAACGCCGCGUGAGUGAUGAAGGUCUUCGGAUCGUAAAACUCUGUUAUUAGGGAAGAACAAAUGUGUAAGUAACUAUGCACGUCUUGACGGUACCUAAUCAGAAAGCCACGGCUAACUACGUG
This 497-nucleotide ribosomal RNA is filed under the name uncultured bacterium. RNAcentral's name for it is "partial 16S ribosomal RNA". It matches the Rfam family "Bacterial small subunit ribosomal RNA", at positions 28 to 507 of the family's 1533-position model. The record is from RNAcentral.